RNAcentral lists this ribosomal RNA (399 nucleotides) under Triticum aestivum (bread wheat). Its description in RNAcentral is "partial small subunit ribosomal RNA". The record is from RNAcentral. Lineage: Eukaryota; Viridiplantae; Streptophyta; Magnoliopsida; Poales; Poaceae.
AAAAUUAAUGUUGAUAGAGCAGUAGGAAGACAUGGUAAUAGAGGUGUUGCGGCUACUAUAUGUCUGGACCAUCUUGGUAAUUACAUGGGCUCAUCGUCUAUCACUUAUUUGGGUAUUAACGGCGUGCCAACCUUGGAGGCCUUGGCAUGCCGUGAGGCUUUGGCUCUGGCCAAAGAUUUGGACAUUUCUCGGGUCCUUGUAUCUUCUAAUUGUGCUAUGGUGAUUAAUGAUAUUGAGACAAAUCAAGGAGGAAGACAUGCAACCAUUAUUCAGGAGAUCCGUGCCAGCAAGUUAGAUUAUUUGGAGUGUGAUUUCAUGUACGAGAGAAGAUCUAGAAAUUACAAGGCUAAUAGCAUAGCUAAAUUUUCUUUAUCUCUAGGUGUAGGUAGACGUGUGUGG